Non-coding RNA from Cyanistes caeruleus (blue tit), 1614 nucleotides. Lineage: Eukaryota; Metazoa; Chordata; Aves; Passeriformes; Paridae. The record is from RefSeq and is a predicted model, not a curated record.
AGGAAAGGAUCUCCCUGAGUCAGCACUUGCAAUUUUCUCCUAAUGAGUGGAGUAUGUUAUUUACCCUUUUAUAACUGGAAAAGACUUUGUUUCCCUGAACCUUGACUUCAUGCUGGCUUUCCUGGAGGAGCUGAACCAUGCCUCAUUCUCUGUUAUUCACAGCAGUGAGACCCUCUUACUUCCAUUUGACAUAAACAAAGGGUUAAAAAAUUCUGAGACAUCUUACAACUGUUAGAAACCAUUUCAAAGAAAGCUUUUUGCCCUGAAUACAGCUUCUUGAAAAGUAAGCAUAAAAAGACAUUGCCAUUUUAGCAGCAUCUUUUGAACAGGACUCAAUCUGUGGUAUAAAUUGUAAAGUUCUGAGGCAUCUCUGAUUGUGACUACAGAUUUCUUCCCAGUGUUCUGGUACACCAAAACAUUCACAUUUUUUUCAGAACAUCAAGUGACGUCUCUAAGAAAUGGUGCUUUAUAAAAAAUGUUACUUCAGUCAAAGUGUGUUUUUAUGGAAAAUUUUCAAGUCCAACAAUGCAUCAUCUCAAGCAUGUCACUGACUGCAGUUUGGAUUUGAGGGGAAAGAGCUCACCCAAACUUUGAGGCAGCUUAUUGUAUUCCUUCCAUGUUUCCUGAGGACUGAAUACAUUUGACAACUGUUUAUCCUCAUUAAUUUAAUCAAAAACUUCUUCCUAGGAAAUUACCAGGGUAAAAACACUGACAAAAGCAACUAAGGCAAAAGUCUAUUAGCUUUGUUUCUUCAGGGAAACAUUUCAUACACAGAAAUUAUGUUCUCAAGACUGAGGAAAAAUCAUUAUAAGAAGAAUGUCAUUAUUACUGAAAAGAAUAUAAUGGCUGUGUGUAAGAUGGAGAAGGAUGGGAUCACUCAUUUGAAGCCUCUCAAUGCACUGGUGACUUUACCAUUUCAGCAAAAUGCCAAAAAAGAUGCAUGAUCUGAGCCCUGGUGUCUUCAUUAUUGCAGUGCAUUAUCCUGGCGUAUUCUCUACUAAAUGCCAUUGAGCAGAGCCAACAUUUUGGAGUAGAAUUCUUCCUCAAUUCUUCUUUUUAUUUUAACAUUUUCUUACUACUUGGUUCAUUCUUCCUCACCCUGAUCUUGCUUUGAAGUUCUUGUUUUUAGACCUCAUAUUUUGCUUUACUGUUUCUUUAUAGCCUUGUUAGCAUUAGUUAAGCAAUGCUCAUUGCCAUUUAAGCAACUCGGGGAAAACUUUAGGACUUGCAUCUGAUCAUCAGAUUGUCUUAAAAGUGAAAAUUCAGUACCAUUCAGGCCUUAUUUCAUUACUCUUAGGGAGUUUGCCUUGCUGUUAGAGGUAAAAAUAAAAUGAUUUAUGAUGACAAAUCAGGUGUGCAUCAUUCUCCUAGUUUGCAAAAGGGGCUACAUAUACAUUAUGUAAGUCAAAGAAGUGUGAAGAAUAUUAAUAACUCUGCCAAUCAAUGUUUCAUUUUAAGCCAUGUGUUACCUCUAAUCUUAAAGCAGAGUAGUAAUCCCCAGUUUUAAAAUACUAUUGCUCACCAAUCCAUUCCAAAGUGUCUUUCACUGUAUUAUUCCUAUUUUUUAAAUCAGGAGAAACUGAAGCAAAAGUAAUACUAACAGAGCCCAAUUCA